CCUACGGGAGGCAGCAGUGGGGAAUAUUGGACAAUGGGGGCAACCCUGAUCCAGCCAUGCCGCGUGUGUGAAGAAGGCCCUCGGGUUGUAAAGCACUUUCAGUGAGGAAGAACGCCUGGUGGUUAAUACCCAUCAGGAAAGACAUCACUCACAGAAGAAGCACCGGCUAACUCCGUGCCAGCAGCCGCGGUAAUACGGAGGGUGCGAGCGUUAAUCGGAAUUACUGGGCGUAAAGCGCGCGUAGGUGGCUUGAUAAGCCGGUUGUGAAAGCCCCGGGCUCAACCUGGGAACGGCAUCCGGAACUGUCAAGCUAGAGUGCAGGAGAGGAAGGUAGAAUUCCCGGUGUAGCGGUGAAAUGCGUAGAGAUCGGGAGGAAUACCAGUGGCGAAGGCGGCCUUCUGGACUGACACUGCCACUGAGGUGCGAAAGCGUGGGUAGCAAACAGGAUUAGAUACCCUGGUAGUC
Molecule: ribosomal RNA, 465 nt
Filed under: Vreelandella stevensii
Lineage: Bacteria; Pseudomonadati; Pseudomonadota; Gammaproteobacteria; Oceanospirillales; Halomonadaceae
Description: partial 16S ribosomal RNA
Rfam family: Bacterial small subunit ribosomal RNA
Source: RNAcentral